Molecule: long non-coding RNA, 310 nt
Filed under: Capsella rubella
Lineage: Eukaryota; Viridiplantae; Streptophyta; Magnoliopsida; Brassicales; Brassicaceae
Description: long non-coding RNA (CRUB_LNC000198)
Source: RNAcentral
GCAAAGUGUGAUGCAGAAGUGGCUGCCCGUGAAGCUGAGCAAGCCCGAUCUAUGGCUGACCAAUCCCAAGCUAUGGCUGAGCAAGCCCGAGCUGUGGCUGAGCAAAAGGCCCAGAUUGAACACUUGACCAUGGUAGCACAAUAUCUUCGAGAAAAUGAUCCGUGCUUCAUGGAUUUUUUGGCUGCCAAAUCAGCUGCAGUAGCACAGCCUCCAUCAACCAGUCUUCACCAAGCAGAUCCACCUUCUAGUCCAUCUCCACCUUAGGUUACUCUCUCUAAUUCUCAGCUAUCUUCAGUCCUGAACUCNNNNN